CAGCCGCCGCGGUAAGACAGAAGAUGCAAGCGUUAUCCGGAAUGAUUGGGCGUAAAGCGUCUGUAGGUGGCUUUUCAAGUCCACCGUCAAAUCCCAGGGCUCAACCCUGGACAGGCGGUGGAAACUACCAAGCUAGAGUACGGUAGGGGCAGAGGGAAUUUCCGGUGGAGCAGUGAAAUGCGUUGAGAUCGGAAAGAACACCAACGGCGAAAGCACUCUGCUGGGCCGACACUGACACUGAGAGACGAAAGCUUGGGGAGCGAACGGGAUUAGAUACCCCAGUAGUCCCUGUCUCUUAUAC
RNAcentral lists this ribosomal RNA (301 nucleotides) under uncultured bacterium. RNAcentral describes it as "partial 16S ribosomal RNA". It matches the Rfam family "Bacterial small subunit ribosomal RNA", at positions 509 to 807 of the family's 1533-position model. The record is from RNAcentral.